UACGUAGGGUGCGAGCGUUGUCCGGAAUUAUUGGGCGUAAAGGGCUCGUAGGCGGUUUGUCGCGUCGGGAGUGAAAUCCACUGGCUUAACUGGUGGCUUGCUUUCGAUACGGGCAGACUGGAGGUAUGCAGGGGAGAACGGAAUUCCUGGUGUAGCGGUGAAAUGCGCAGAUAUCAGGAGGAACACAGGUGGCGAAGGCGGUUCUCUGGGCAUGUCCUGACGCUGAGGAGCGAAAGUGUGGGGAGCGAACAGG
This 253-nucleotide ribosomal RNA is filed under the name uncultured bacterium. RNAcentral describes it as "partial 16S ribosomal RNA". It matches the Rfam family "Bacterial small subunit ribosomal RNA", at positions 524 to 776 of the family's 1533-position model. The record is from RNAcentral.